GGAGAGGUGCCAGAGUGGUUGAAUGGGACGGUCUCGAAAACCGUUGUGCGGGCAACCGUACCGUGGGUUCGAAUCCCACCCUCUCCGCCA
This 90-nucleotide transfer RNA is filed under the name Pannonibacter sp. Its description in RNAcentral is "tRNA-Ser". It matches the Rfam family "tRNA". Rfam says of the family: Transfer RNA (tRNA) molecules are approximately 80 nucleotides in length. Their secondary structure includes four short double-helical elements and three loops (D, anti-codon, and T loops). Further hydrogen bonds mediate the characteristic L-shaped molecular structure. tRNAs have two regions of fundamental functional importance: the anti-codon, which is responsible for specific mRNA codon recognition, and the 3' end, to which the tRNAs corresponding amino acid is attached (by aminoacyl-tRNA synthetases). tRNAs cope with the degeneracy of the genetic code in two manners: having more than one tRNA (with a specific anti-codon) for a particular amino acid; and 'wobble' base-pairing, i.e. permitting non-standard base-pairing at the 3rd anti-codon position. The record is from RNAcentral. Lineage: Bacteria; Pseudomonadati; Pseudomonadota; Alphaproteobacteria; Hyphomicrobiales; Stappiaceae. RNAcentral also lists the same sequence under 2 other names.